Molecule: long non-coding RNA, 337 nt
Filed under: Capsicum annuum
Lineage: Eukaryota; Viridiplantae; Streptophyta; Magnoliopsida; Solanales; Solanaceae
Description: long non-coding RNA (CANN_LNC000194)
Source: RNAcentral
UCGGUUUCAGAUCUAACAUCUUAAUCCCUCCCUCUUUCACGCAUUUUCUCCUCUCUCUUACGCUCAAAUCUCUCUCGCUCUCUCGAUUAUCUCUUCCGUCACUCUCUUUCCUCAUUUUUGAUCUGGUGUGGCAUGUGAAUUUCCCAAAUCAGUCAGGAGUCUGUCUGUAUGGAUUGGUGUGUGAUGGUGUUGAUGAUCAAGAGGAAAAAUACGUGACCCCCGUGAAGAAAAAGAAAAAAAAAUCUUGUAUGCGUGUCCCUGUAUUGUUAUUUUGGCGUGCGUUGGUCAGGAGUGUGUGUUCAAGGUCCUCCUCCCAUUUAUGUUGAAUGAAGAAAAA